UACGUAGGGGGCAAGCGUUGUCCGGAAUCAUUGGGCGUAAAGAGCGCGUAGGCGGCCAGAUAAGUCCGGUGUGAAAGUCACAGGCUCAACCUGUGAAUGCCGCUGGAAACUGUCUGGCUAGAGUCCGGUAGGGGCGAGUGGAAUUCCUGGUGUAGCGGUGAAAUGCGCAGAUAUCAGGGGGAACACCAAUGGCGAAGGCAGCUCGCUGGAACGGUACUGACGCUGAGGCGCGAAGCGUGGGGAGCAAACAGG
RNAcentral lists this ribosomal RNA (252 nucleotides) under uncultured bacterium. RNAcentral describes it as "partial 16S ribosomal RNA". It matches the Rfam family "Bacterial small subunit ribosomal RNA", at positions 524 to 776 of the family's 1533-position model. The record is from RNAcentral.